This 489-nucleotide ribosomal RNA is filed under the name uncultured bacterium. RNAcentral's name for it is "partial 16S ribosomal RNA". It matches the Rfam family "Bacterial small subunit ribosomal RNA", at positions 28 to 507 of the family's 1533-position model. The record is from RNAcentral.
GACGAACGCUGGCGGCGUGCUUAACACAUGCAAGUCGAACGGAAAGGCCCCCACCUUGGUGGGGGUGCUCGAGUGGCGAACGGGUGAGUAACACGUGGGUGAUCUGCCCUGUACUUCGGGAUAAGCUUGGGAAACUGGGUCUAAUACCGGAUAGGACCAUGGUUUAGUGUCUCAUGGUGGAAAAAUUAUUGUUUUGGUGCAGGAUGCGCUCGCGGCCUAUCAGCUUGUUGGUGGGGUAAUGGCCUACCAAGGCGUCGACGGGUAGCCGGCCUGAGAGGGUGGACGGCCACAUUGGGACUGAGAUACGGCCCAGACUCCUACGGGAGGCAGCAGUGGGGAAUAUUGCAGAAUGGGCGCAAGCCUGAUGCAGCGACGCCGCGUGGGGGAUGACGGCCUUCGGGUUGUAAACUCCUUUCGUUAGGGACGAAGCCACACCUUUUUUGGGUGUGGUGACGGUACCUUUGUUAAGAAGCACCGGCUAACUACGUG